UGUAUUUGAGGCUAGUUAACAUUGAAGAGAUGGAGGAGUGGCUUUCUGAACUCCUUUGUGAAAAGGACAACAUUGCAUGACGUAUGGCGGAUUUUCUUGUGAAUGGCAAUGUGGUAUAAAACGGGAUUGUCGGCCAUACGAAGUAUAAUUAAACCACUGGCUAGGAGGAUGCCGUCCUACGGGGACGCUGCUAGCAGUCAAGUUCACAUGAGUGAAAGAGACAUUCAUGCAACUACUUGGGGAGCUUUCUUUUUGGGAUAUCAAGUGCUUAUCUGCAACUAGUUCGAACUUGGAAGAACUAUUUUUACAAGUCCGAAGGGUAACGAAGUGUGGAGAGCAACACGGUCACUCCAUAACCGACAUUGUGAUUUGCCAUGUGGCCCAUUGUAAUGUGGCCCAUUGUAAGCCAUAUGGAUGACCGGUUAGUUGAGUCUAUAAAUAGUAGAUCUUAGUGUGGUGUUGCAAAGCAUGAUGGGUGAGAGUUGUACCAGUGGUAUGUAUGGAGAGCAACACGGUCACUCCAUAACCGACAUUGUGAUUUGCCAUGUGGCCCAUUGUAAGCCAUAUGGAUGACCCGGUUAGUUGAGUCUAUAAAUAGUAGAUGUUAGUGUCGUGCUGCAAAGCAUGAUGGGUGAGAGUUGUACCAGUGGUAUGUAUGGAGAGCAACACGGUCACUCCAUAACCGACAUUGUGAUUUGCCAUGUGGCCCAUUGUAAUGUGGCCCAUUGUAAGCCAUAUGGAUGACCGGUUAGUUGAGUCUAUAAAUAGUAGAUCUUAGUGUGGUGUUGCAAAGCAUGAUGGGUGAGAGUUGUACCAGUGGUAUGUAUGAUGUGAAAGAGAGAGGUGGAUGUGAUUUAGAUAAAGUGUGUUGUUUCUAGAGAAUGUAUGUAUGUGAAAGUGUGAGCAUGUAUUGAUUUAGAGUGACAUUUAAGUGUGGGUAUAAUAAAAACAUAAGUGUUUCUCUCUCGGAGUCCAAUUUAUUGUGUGCAUCUUUUCUACAAUUGGUAUCAGAGCGGC
RNAcentral lists this long non-coding RNA (1017 nucleotides) under Amborella trichopoda. Its description in RNAcentral is "long non-coding RNA (ATRI_LNC001758)". Lineage: Eukaryota; Viridiplantae; Streptophyta; Magnoliopsida; Amborellales; Amborellaceae. The record is from RNAcentral.